This is an unclassified non-coding RNA of Pongo abelii (Sumatran orangutan), 239 nucleotides long. It matches the Rfam family "Metazoan signal recognition particle RNA". From Rfam's summary of the family: The signal recognition particle (SRP) is a universally conserved ribonucleoprotein. It is involved in the co-translational targeting of proteins to membranes. The eukaryotic SRP consists of a 300-nucleotide 7S RNA and six proteins: SRPs 72, 68, 54, 19, 14, and 9. Lineage: Eukaryota; Metazoa; Chordata; Mammalia; Primates; Hominidae. The record is from Ensembl.
GCCGGGCGUGGUGGCACACGCCUGUAAUCCCAGCUACUUGGGAGGCUGAGGCAGGAGAAUUGCUUGAACCAGUACCCAGGAGGCAGAGGUUGCAGUGAGCUGAGAUUACGUCACUGCACUCCACGCUGGCAACAGAGUGAGACUCAGUCUCGCUCUGUCACCGAGGCUGGAAUGCAGUGGCUCGAUCUCGGCUCGCUGCAACCUCCGCCUCUGGGGUUCAAGCGAUUCUCCUGCCUCAG